AUUUUCGAAACAUCUGGAGCAAGAGACAAAUCCCAUCAGCUCAGUUCCAACAAUAUAUGCAGAUGGGCAACUGAUGGUCAGACUCCAGUGGUUCUUCAAAACUUUCUAGGAGGUAAACAAGAUGAAAGGGAAAGCACACAAAUUUGCUGGAAUUUGGAAAACAUGAACCCUGGAAUUUGGAGGAGUCAGUUCCACUGGAAAAUACUUUUAUAUUAUUUAUAGUGGCUACCAUUACUGUGCUCACUUUACAGGUGAGGUUCAGAGAUUUAUUUAACAUGCCAAAGGUCACACAGCUGGACACAGCAGAACCAAGAUUCAGAUCUCCACAGCAGUAAAUGAAACCAGCCCAGCUGCAUGCUCACCUGAAACUUACUUUCUCCUUCACGUUCCAAACUCAUGACUUGCUUGUGGCAGAAAAAAAGAACUACUUCGGGGUCCCCAACCCCUGGCAGUGGACCGGUACUGGCCCAUGGCCAGUGGCCAGUUAGGAUCUGGGCGACACAGCAGCAGGGCUAUUUCAGUCCAAGGAGGAAUGGGAUGCAUAGGUGACC
Molecule: long non-coding RNA, 551 nt
Filed under: Pongo abelii (Sumatran orangutan)
Lineage: Eukaryota; Metazoa; Chordata; Mammalia; Primates; Hominidae
Description: lincRNA
Source: RNAcentral